Molecule: ribosomal RNA, 253 nt
Filed under: uncultured bacterium
Lineage: Bacteria
Description: partial 16S ribosomal RNA
Rfam family: Bacterial small subunit ribosomal RNA
Source: RNAcentral
UACGAGGGGGGCGAGCGUUGUUCGGAAUUAUUGGGCGUAAAGGGUGCGUAGGCGGUUCCGCAAGUCCUGUGUGAAAUCUUCGGGCUCAACUCGAAGUCUGCACGGGAAACUGCGGGGCUUGAGUAUGGGAGAGGACGAGGGAAUUCCUGGUGUAGCGGUGAAAUGCGUAGAUAUCAGGAGGAACACCGGUGGCGAAAGCGCUCGUCUGGCCCAAUACUGACGCUGAUGCGCGAAAGCUAGGGGAGCAAACGGG